GACGAACGCUGGCGGCGUGCUUAACACAUGCAAGUCGAACGGGCUGCCUGGUUUUCGGAUCGGGUGGUGAGUGGCGAACGGGUGAGUAACACGUGAGUAACCUGCCCCUCUCUUUGGGAUAACGUCGGGAAAUCGGCGCUAAUACCGGGUAUUCUGGCUUCCUCGCAUGGGGUUGUUGGGAAAGGUUUUUUCUGGUGGGGGAUGGGCUCGCGGCCUAUCAGCUUGUUGGUGGGGUGAUGGCCUACCAAGGCGGCGACGGGUAGCCGGCCUGAGAGGGUGUCCGGCCACACUGGGACUGAGACACGGCCCAGACUCCUACGGGAGGCAGCAGUGGGGAAUAGUGCACAAUGGGCGGAAGCCUGAUGCAGCGACGCCGCGUGGGGGAUGACGGCCUUCGGGUUGUAAACCUCUUUCAGUGCAGAACAAGGCUCUUUGUGGGUUGAGGGUAGGCGCAGAAGAAGCGCCGGCUAACUACGUG
RNAcentral lists this ribosomal RNA (478 nucleotides) under uncultured bacterium. RNAcentral's name for it is "partial 16S ribosomal RNA". It matches the Rfam family "Bacterial small subunit ribosomal RNA", at positions 28 to 507 of the family's 1533-position model. The record is from RNAcentral.